RNAcentral lists this long non-coding RNA (529 nucleotides) under Triticum aestivum (bread wheat). Its description in RNAcentral is "long non-coding RNA (TAES_LNC002698)". Lineage: Eukaryota; Viridiplantae; Streptophyta; Magnoliopsida; Poales; Poaceae. The record is from RNAcentral.
UGGCAUCCUUCAAACUGCAGUGCAGAUUUUAUUGAUAAAGUGCGAUAGUCCUAGAUUUGUUCAAGUUUUUGGUUAUCUGAUUAUGUCAGUUUUGCAACUCAUCAUUUGAACGUAUUGAGAAUAACAGAAAGUUUAGUAAUGUCAAUACAUGCUGUCGUAGUGUUGUAAUCAUCAUGGUAUCAGAUUAUUACAAGAGCUGUCUAAUGUAUGGAUGGGUAAUCUUGACAUGUAAUGUUUCCCAUGCUUCUUUAAAUCCAGCAUCUGGUACAUCUCAGCACAAGAAAAAAGUGGGAAGCAGUUUCUUGGAUUCGUUUUUGUUUGACUCCCUAGAUUAUCAUUAGAUUAUGUGUUCAGUCUCCAGUUAAUUGCCACUUUACCAUGGCUUACCAAUGCAAAUCAAAAUGAAAGCUUUUGUCUGAAGUACUGAGUAGGUGGUUAUUGUAUGUAUUCUCAAUGCUUACGACACGUGAGAUUUCAUAGGAAUAUCCUGCAUCACGGUGCAUGUUGUCGGCCUCUUACUUAAGCAUCC